Molecule: long non-coding RNA, 1061 nt
Organism: Salvia miltiorrhiza (redroot sage)
Lineage: Eukaryota; Viridiplantae; Streptophyta; Magnoliopsida; Lamiales; Lamiaceae
Exons: 6
Source: RefSeq, a predicted model, not a curated record
CUUGUUUAAUCUUGUUCUCUUUCAGCUUCAACGUCGAAUGAAGAUUGCUGAAUUGAAGCAGAUUUGUACUAGACCUGAUGUUGUUGAGGUUGCCACUGAAUUUCUUAAAAGUAUUUUAUAUCGAUCUAGCUUCCACCUAUUUUUGCCUUCGUACAAGCCUUUGUCUGUUAAUCCUUGUAGACUUAUAGAUUGACCAGCACCAACCUUUUUAUCUUUAAAUAAUUGGCAAUGUUAUGAUGCAAGCUAUGAUAUGAUUGGGUUAUUAGAGUUCUUAUGUGUUUUAACAAAAUACUGGGAAGGGAUGGAGCAUUUUUGAGUAAUGCAAGGCCGAUUAUUAGCUGUUAUUGGCUGGAUAUAUUAUUACUUCCAUGAUCAAUUUUAUGAUUAGAGUAAGUGACGGGUUUUAUGAUGCAAGGAAAAAUUAGUACAAGUUAUUGACAUGAUGGAUAUUGCUUGUGAUAUGUGAAUUUUUUUUUUUGUGCAGGACCUGCUCAAGCUCAGAACUUGAGGGAUUCACUUGCUGAAGUAAAUUCUAAUAUUGUUCUUAAGCAACUAUUUGAUGGGAAAGAGAGAUCUUAUAUAUGCAUUUUAAAGUAAUUAUAUGAUGCUACCAACAUUGGACAAGCAAAGCUACAGUGGUUAUGGGAACGAGUGGUGCUGGAAAAUCAAUAAUUGUAGUUCUUUGGAAUGAUUUGGUGCUGGUGUUGCUUCACUUCUAGAAAAAGCAUGCAUUUGUUAACGGGAGAGAUCAUUGGGAGAAUGUCCGGUGAUACGAUCCUCAUUUUGUAGAGGAUGGCUCCUAGCGAUUGUGUUGUGUACGUGCAACAUUCUUGCACUUGGUAUAGCAGGUUUGCGGUGGAUUAAAUGAGCCGUACGUUGAGCUGAAGAAGCUCGUGAAUUCAUAAGAAAAAUUGUACUAGAUGGCUAGCUAGUUGCAUAUUUAAUAUAUUUAGUAUUUUUGUAAGGCAUAAUAGUAUUACAUGGAGCAUUUGUUGAAUUUUGACUAUAUUCAAACGAUGUAUGAAUUCUUUUUUAUGAUAAUAAUAUAUGAAUUUUGAUUA